This 604-nucleotide ribosomal RNA is filed under the name uncultured bacterium. Its description in RNAcentral is "bacterial SSU rRNA". The stretch from base 1 to 524 matches the Rfam family "Bacterial small subunit ribosomal RNA", at positions 338 to 873 of the family's 1533-position model. The record is from RNAcentral.
CCUACGGGAGGCAGCAGUGGGGAAUAUUGCACAAUGGGCGAAAGCCUGAUGCAGCGACGCCGCGUGAGGGACGACGGCCUUCGGGUUGUAAACCUCUUUCAGCAGGGACGAAGCGCAAGUGACGGUACCUGCAGAAGAAGCACCGGCUAACUACGUGCCAGCAGCCGCGGUAAUACGUAGGGUGCAAGCGUUGUCCGGAAUUACUGGGCGUAAAGAGUUCGUAGGCGGUUUGUCACGUCGUUUGUGAAAACUCACAGCUCAACUGUGAGCCUGCAGGCGAUACGGGCAGACUUGAGUACUGCAGGGGAGACUGGAAUUCCUGGUGUAGCGGUGAAAUGCGCAGAUAUCAGGAGGAACACCGGUGGCGAAGGCGGGUCUCUGGGCAGUAACUGACGCUGAGGAACGAAAGCGUGGGUAGCAAACAGGAUUAGAUACCCUGGUAGUCCACGCCGUAAACGGUGGGCGCUAGGUGUGGGUUCCUUCCACGGAAUCCGUGCCGUAGCUAACGCAUUAAGCGCCCCGCCUGGGGGAGGACGGCCGCGAGACGUAAACUAACGAAGUAGUAGCGCGNGAGACGCGACGACGACGACGACGGAGGGAGGAG